AGGCUUAACACAUGCAAGUCGAACGCCCCGCAAGGGGAGUGGCAGACGGGUGAGUAACGCGUGGGAAUCUACCCAGAACUUCGGAAUAACACAUGGAAACGUGUGCUAAUACCGGAUACGCCCUACGGGGGAAAGAUUUAUCGGUUUUGGAUGAGCCCGCGUAAGAUUAGCUAGUUGGUGAGGUAAUGGCUCACCAAGGCUACGAUCUUUAGCUGGUCUGAGAGGAUGAUCAGCCACACUGGGACUGAGACACGGCCCAGACUCCUACGGGAGGCAGCAGUGGGGAAUAUUGGACAAUGGGCGCAAGCCUGAUCCAGCCAUGCCGCGUGAGUGAUGAAGGCCUUAGGGUUGUAAAGCUCUUUCAGUAGGGAAGAUAAUGACGGUACCUACAGAAGAAGCCCCGGCUAAC
RNAcentral lists this ribosomal RNA (409 nucleotides) under grassland soil clone saf3_112. RNAcentral describes it as "bacterial SSU rRNA". It matches the Rfam family "Bacterial small subunit ribosomal RNA", at positions 44 to 501 of the family's 1533-position model. The record is from RNAcentral.